RNAcentral lists this long non-coding RNA (230 nucleotides) under Carica papaya (papaya). Its description in RNAcentral is "long non-coding RNA (CPAP_LNC009371)". The record is from RNAcentral. Lineage: Eukaryota; Viridiplantae; Streptophyta; Magnoliopsida; Brassicales; Caricaceae.
UGAGAGGUCCGGGUUGUACUUGCGUAGCAUAGAUACGUGGAACACAUUAUGAACCCUAGAUAACUCCGGAGGUAGUGCCAAUUUGUAGGCGGUCGUACUAAUCCAGUAUAAGAUCUCACAUGGUCUAAUGAACCGAGAAUUUAAUUUUUUCCACUUAUCAAAUCUACUGAUUCUUUUAAAAUGAGUGACCUUAAGAAACACUAGAUCACCUUUCUUAAAUUCCAAAUCCC